UACGUAGGGGGCAAGCGUUGUCCGGAUUUACUGGGCGUAAAGAGCGUGUAGGCGGCCAAACAGGUCCGUUGUGAAAACUGGAGGCUUAACCUCCAGACGUCGACGGAAACCGUAUGGCUAGAGUCCGGAAGAGGAGAGUGGAAUUCCUGGUGUAGCGGUGAAAUGCGCAGAUAUCAGGAAGAACACCAAUGGCGAAGGCAGCGCUCUGGGACGGUACUGACGCUGAGACGCGAAAGCGUGGGGAGCGAACAGG
Molecule: ribosomal RNA, 253 nt
Filed under: uncultured bacterium
Lineage: Bacteria
Description: partial 16S ribosomal RNA
Rfam family: Bacterial small subunit ribosomal RNA
Source: RNAcentral